UUUUGCUUUGUGUUUUGAGCCGUUUUUUUUUUUAUGAGCAGGGCUUGGCAUUUGAAUUUUGGAUGGUGACAAAAAGCUGGAGGACCCAAGUGCAGCAAUGCAAAUGAGUGUAGCAGUCUCAGAAAGGAGAUCUAUUUUACAGAAAACACAAACGAAGUACGUCUACUGCUGGGCACAUGUGGUACUGCAUCCUUUCCACUCAUUUCUUUGUGGAGGACCAUUUUACUACAACCUUUGGACUCACUGGUUUAGGCCCUACACACCCAGCACCUAUGUCAACUCCCCCAUUUUCAUAGCCCCUGAACACGCUGGAUGUGCUUCAGUGGCUGUAUAUGCUGUUUACCCAAAAUUGCUGUGAAAAAGCAAUUUCUUCCAACAAACAGUUGAAUGUUUCAUGAGCAAGAUGGUCAUGGGAGGAGAAAAGAAUCACGAGUAAAUCACAACACAACAAACUCAACUUACUUUAGCAAUUUAGCAUUUUGUUUGGAUUCAUCUACAGUUUCUGGUACUUGUAAGCAGUUUUAUAUUUAAAUCAUUGAGUGUAAUCCCAAUGAGUCGAGAUCCAUAUUUUAAAACCAUGGGUCUGUUGGAAAAAAAAUAAAAAUUAAAAUAUGGCUGUGACUCACCCAAGGCUAAAAAUAAAUAGAGGUAAUGUUUCUAUUUCUCUUUUCUUGGUGUAAAAGUUUGUCAAGCCCUGCUUAUGAACAAGCUUCAAUGCCGCUGCUGCUUGAGUGAACCAUAGUGUGCAAUAUAUUUUCAGCCAUUUAUUGGAUGAAAACAUUCGUUAGGAGCAUGAAGAAAAUGCCAACACAGACCUAAUCAUCAAACUGAUUACAUGAUUGAGUAAAUUGAUUUUUGAGCUUGUGCACGGAGCAAAUUUAAA
Molecule: long non-coding RNA, 883 nt
Organism: Syngnathus acus (greater pipefish)
Lineage: Eukaryota; Metazoa; Chordata; Actinopteri; Syngnathiformes; Syngnathidae
Exons: 2
Source: RefSeq, a predicted model, not a curated record